RNAcentral lists this long non-coding RNA (315 nucleotides) under Sorghum bicolor (sorghum). RNAcentral's name for it is "long non-coding RNA (SBIC_LNC004954)". Lineage: Eukaryota; Viridiplantae; Streptophyta; Magnoliopsida; Poales; Poaceae. The record is from RNAcentral.
GCCGAGCGCGCGUGGGCCGGCUUGCGGGCCAAGUUCCAGGCCGCCCGCCGCGCGAAAAAUCUUUUUCUUUUUUCCUUUUGUGCAAUUUUUUUUUUUGCUGAAUGUUUGAAAUUGUGUAGAAAAUUGUAGGUUGAUCCAAAAAUCAUGGAAAUUUUUGUGUAUAUUCCCUGAAAUAAGUAGGACACAAGAAAAAUAGUGGAUUCUGUUUUCUGGUAGUUUACAUGUCUGUAAAAAUUUGCCCUUUUAAUUAGCAAAUGAAACUUGUAUGAUUUAUAAUAAUUUAUUUGUAUGUCCAAAAAUCACCAAAAAUUGUGG